GUGAGGUAGGAGGUGAGAGCUGGUGAGCCGGGGCCGCCCAGGGUGGGCUCAGGAAGGGAAGGAAUGUGGCUGAGGCUGGGUGUGGCUGGGGAAAACUCAGCUAGUUGUGGGUUUUUCUUGGGGCCCAGAGACACAUGAGCAGAGGUGGAGGCCCCUCUCCCCAGCCCCCAGCAUAGACUAGGACCUUCCCCAG
This is a non-coding RNA of Dipodomys ordii (Ord's kangaroo rat), 193 nucleotides long. The record is from Rfam. Lineage: Eukaryota; Metazoa; Chordata; Mammalia; Rodentia; Heteromyidae.